GGAGGCACCAGGAGUAACUAUCAAUGUGGAAAUAGUUGUUUGUAGGUAAAGGACUCGACUAUGGCAUUCGCUGUUUCCUUGAAUUUGCAGGCCAGCCCUUUCUCAAUUACAGGCAUCAGUUCCUUCACGAAGGCGUCAAAGUUCUUGUUCACGACGUCGUUGAUCAUGCCAAGUAAUAUUUUAUCCCCAUUAAAUAAAUUUUCCAGCCUGACUGACCCUCCACCUACUUCGACAUGUAGAUCGAAAGUAUUGUAUUUCAAAUACUCGUCUCCGUCUUUUUCAUAUAGAUCGCCUUUUAGCAUCGCCUUGGCAUGAGCAUCGGUUAUAUUUGCUUCCAAAUUUCCAUCUCCUUUGACUGGCACCAGUACUAGCUUACCGUCCACACUAUAGUGAGCUUCAAUUCUAAGCUUUGGGAGGUCAACAUACAGUACGAAUUCAUUUGUGUCCAAAUUCACCUCUAUAUUCCUUACGAAAAAGUCGGUACAUCCCCAAGCACUAACAUUGGAUACAGUGAUUUUCAUGCCAGCUGUCUCUUCUGAGAAAAGGUCUUUGAUUAUCAAUGGCUCCAUUUGAGGUAAAUUAUAUUCAGGUACACCAUCAACCAAAAAUGGCCGGAUGUCUUCAACUGACGCCAUCAAACAUUGCUCUAAUUGUGGGUCCUCCUUGUGACACACAUGUAUGAAUGAAGGGAGUUCGUCGCAGAGACAUCCAAAGUAUCCGAUGAUAAGUGCUAGAAGGACACUUUGGAACAUUUUUCGUUCCACUUCCAUCAAU
RNAcentral lists this unclassified non-coding RNA (774 nucleotides) under Hevea brasiliensis (rubber tree). The record is from RNAcentral. Lineage: Eukaryota; Viridiplantae; Streptophyta; Magnoliopsida; Malpighiales; Euphorbiaceae.